CUACGUGCCAGCAGCCGCGGUAAUACGUAUGUCACGAGCGUUAUCCGGAUUUAUUGGGCGUAAAGCGCGUCUAGGUGGUUAUAUAAGUCUGAUGUGAAAAUGCAGGGCUCAACUCUGUAUUGCGUUGGAAACUGUAUAACUAGAGUACUGGAGAGGUAAGCGGAACUACAAGUGUAGAGGUGAAAUUCGUAGAUAUUUGUAGGAAUGCCGAUGGGGAAGCCAGCUUACUGGACAGAUACUGACGCUGAAGCGCGAAAGCGUGGGUAGCAAACAGGAUUAGAUACCCUGGUAGUCCACGCUGUAAACGAUGAUUACUAGGUGUUGGGGGUCGAACCUCAGCGCCCAAGCAAACGCGAUAAGUAAUCCGCCUGGGGAGUACGUACGCAAGUAUGAAACUCAAAGGAAUUGACGGGGACCCGCACAAGCGGUGGAGCAUGUGGUUUAAUUCGACGCAACGCGAGGCACCUUACCAGCGUUUGACAUC
This 484-nucleotide ribosomal RNA is filed under the name uncultured bacterium. RNAcentral describes it as "bacterial SSU rRNA". It matches the Rfam family "Bacterial small subunit ribosomal RNA", at positions 501 to 988 of the family's 1533-position model. The record is from RNAcentral.